GACGAACGCUGGCGGCGUGCUUAACACAUGCAAGUCGAACGGAAAGGCCCGGCGUUUGUUGGGUGCUCGAGUGGCGAACGGGGGAGUAACACGUGAGUAACCUGCCCUUGACUUUGGGAUAACUUCUGGAAACUGGGGCUAAUACCGGAUAUGAGCUCCUGCUGCAUGGUGGUGGUUGGAAAGUUUCGGCGGUUGGGGCUGGACUCGCGGCUUAUCAGCUUGUUGGUGUGGUAGUGGCUUACCAGGGCUUUGACGGGUAGCCGGCCUGAGAGGGUGACCGGCGACCAUGGGCCUGAGGGACGGCGCAGAAUCCUACCGGCGGCAGUGGUGGGGAAUCUUGCGCAAUGGGGGGGAGCCUGAUGCAGCAACGCCGGGUUCGGGAAGCCGGCCUUUCGGGUGUAAACCGAUUUCGAAGGUGAUGAAGCGUGAGUGACGGUAAUGGGUAAAGAAGCACCGGCUAACUACGUG
Molecule: ribosomal RNA, 468 nt
Filed under: uncultured bacterium
Lineage: Bacteria
Description: partial 16S ribosomal RNA
Rfam family: Bacterial small subunit ribosomal RNA
Source: RNAcentral